This 1269-nucleotide long non-coding RNA is filed under the name Nicotiana tabacum (common tobacco). Its description in RNAcentral is "long non-coding RNA (NTAB_LNC005273)". Lineage: Eukaryota; Viridiplantae; Streptophyta; Magnoliopsida; Solanales; Solanaceae. The record is from RNAcentral.
UGAGAAAAAAGUUUUGUCCUCUAAAACCAGAAUUCCCUUUUUCUCAUUUCUGGGUGGUUUUUCUCUUAGUUUUCUUUGAAAAAUAUUUCCCCUCCCACCCUCUUGACAAGUAUAGAGGCAAACAAUAUUAGGCAAUAUGGUGUCAGGCGAUUGUGUAUAUAAAGGAAGAGUAGUGACGAGUUAUACUUGUAAAGGCAUUUUGAACUAUACGAACUCCAACAAACUGAUAGAUAUUCUAUACAAAACUUUUUUUGGGGAUCUAUUUCUUAUAUGUGAUUAUAUGGGUUUGACGCUAUCCCACUGACCUCUUUUUCUGGGCAGAGGCUGAUCUAAGAUUUACGUAACGGGUUCAGGCGGUUGUCACUUGAGCAAUUGCUUCCUUAAAAUUAUAGGUUUAGAAUGUAAUAUUCAUUCUUCUUUUACAACUUGUUUGUAUUGUUGUUAAGUGUCGUUUCAUAAUGUAUCGUAUUGUAUUAUACUACAUUGUAUUGUAUUGUUUGAUGAACACAACGUUUGGAUAGAUUGUAUCGUUUGACGUCAUUUUAUGAUGUCAUGCACCAACAAUAUGAAGAAUAAACUUGCAAUAUUACAAUGAAAAAAUCGGAUACAAAGUAGAAUCUAUAUAUAUAUAAUCGAGGGCCCUAACCCCGGUGAGGUGGCACUCCCAAUAACCAGCAAUUGAAUUUCCUAGGCUCCAGGUUUUUUACCGGUAGUUUCACACUGAAAUUACAAAAAAAAAAAAAAAACGCUUCGCAUAUUCUUCGUCACCGCUUCUUCGCAUCAAACAAACAACAUCUAAACUUUCAACUGCGGUUCCACUUUCCCUUCUUCCAGCGCCGCUUCUUUAAAUUCCCUUACGUUGCCCCUGCUCCAAUUUACCCAACAUUCUCUGAAUUUAAAAUUCCCUUCCCCCUAUUCAAAUACCCCCAGGACUCUUAAUUACUGACAUUCAAAAACCUAUGCUUUACUCAACUACAUCUCCCUUCUUUGCCUUAUUUCUGAUUUGCAAGCGUUAUAUCUAUUCCGCCAAAAAAAACUGUCGCCGCCAAUGAAGACAUCUGAAGAACACCGUCCCCCACAAACAGUUUCAGAGAAAAGUCAUAUUUGCUCCAUAAUUCCUGGUCUGUAAUCUUUUUAUAGUUAUUUAUCAUUUAUGCAUUAUUCUUACAUAUUUUGCUCUUACUAACUUCUAUGGAACCUAAUCUAAUUUUAUAGGCCUGGGCAAACAAGGAUGUGAAAACACAGACAAAAGAUUGAGGUACAGUCCGA